AUGCAUCUAGAUUGCGGAUCCGCGGCCGCAGAGUUUGAUCAUGGCUCAGGAUGAACGUUGGCUGUGUGCCUUAGGUAUGCAAGUCGAACGGUGCUCUAAUCUUUAACCGCUUGCGGUUAUUGGUUGGAUGUCACAGUGGCAAACGGGUGAGUAACGCGUAGGUAACCUGCCUUAAAGUCGGGAAUAGCUCAUCGAAAGAUGGGGUAAUACUUGAUGGUCUCCAAUCACUUCGGUGCUUUGGAGUAAAGUUUCGGCGCUUUAAGAGGGGCCUGCGUCCUAUCAGCUAGUUGGUGAGGUAAAAGCCCACCAAGGCUAAGACGGGUAACUGGUGUGAGAGCACGGUCAGUCACCAUGGAACUGAGACACGGUCCAUACUCCUACGGGAGGCAGCAAUUAGGAAUUUUGCGCAAUGGGGGCAACCCUGACGCAGCGACACAGCGUGGAGGAGGAAGGUCUUAGGAUUGUAAACUCCUUUUAUGAGGGACGAAUAGAUGACGGUACCUCUUGAAUAAGUACCUGCUAACUACGUGCCAGAAGCAUCGGUGAUGCGUAGGGUACGAACGUUAUCCGGAGUCAUUGGGCGUAAAGAGAUGCGUAGGCGGCUUAACAUGUCUAGGGUUAAAGUC
RNAcentral lists this ribosomal RNA (626 nucleotides) under uncultured bacterium. RNAcentral describes it as "bacterial SSU rRNA". It matches the Rfam family "Bacterial small subunit ribosomal RNA", at positions 1 to 602 of the family's 1533-position model. The record is from RNAcentral.